UAAUACGAAGGGGGCUAGCGUUGCUCGGAAUUACUGGGCGUAAAGGGCGCGUAGGCGGUCUGCCAAGUCAGGCGUGAAAUUCCUGGGCUCAACCUGGGGACUGCGCUUGAUACUGGCGGACUUGAGGAUGGAAGAGGCUCGUGGAAUUCCCAGUGUAGAGGUGAAAUUCGUAGAUAUUGGGAAGAACACCGGUGGCGAAGGCGGCGAGCUGGUCCAUUACUGACGCUGAGGCGCGACAGCGUGGGGAGCAAACAGGAUUAGAUACCCUGGUAGUCCACGCCGUAAACGAUGUGCGCUGGAUGUUGGGUGGCCUAGCCACUCAGUGUCGUAGCUAACGCGGUAAGCGCACCGCCUGGGGAGUACGGCCGCAAGGUUGAA
Molecule: ribosomal RNA, 378 nt
Filed under: uncultured bacterium
Lineage: Bacteria
Description: bacterial SSU rRNA
Rfam family: Bacterial small subunit ribosomal RNA
Source: RNAcentral